This 30-nucleotide non-coding RNA is filed under the name Mus musculus (house mouse). Lineage: Eukaryota; Metazoa; Chordata; Mammalia; Rodentia; Muridae. The record is from RNAcentral.
UAAUAGCCAACCUAUGAUUGAUGUAACCCU